Molecule: ribosomal RNA, 473 nt
Filed under: uncultured bacterium
Lineage: Bacteria
Description: bacterial SSU rRNA
Rfam family: Bacterial small subunit ribosomal RNA
Source: RNAcentral
UGGGGAAUUUUGGACAAUGGGCGCAAGCCUGAUCCAGCCAUGCCGCGUGCGGGAAGAAGGCCUUCGGGUUGUAAACCGCUUUUGUCAGGGAAGAAACGCUCUGGGCUAAUACCCUGGGGUAAUGACGGUACCUGAAGAAUAAGCACCGGCUAACUACGUGCCAGCAGCCGCGGUAAUACGUAGGGUGCAAGCGUUAAUCGGAAUUACUGGGCGUAAAGUGUGCGCAGGCGGCCGAGCAAGUCGAGUGUGAAAGCCCCGAGCUUAACUUGGGAAUUGCGCUCGAAACUACUUGGCUGGAGUGUGGCAGAGGAGGGUGGAAUUCCACGUGUAGCGGUGAAAUGCGUAGAGAUGUGGAGGAACACCGAUGGCGAAGGCAGCCCUCUGGGGCCAACACUGACGCUCAUGCACGAAAGCGUGGGGAGCAAACAGGAUUAGAUACCCGCGUAGUCCCUGAGCGGGCUGGCAAGGCGCAU